This is a long non-coding RNA of Mesocricetus auratus (golden hamster), 2176 nucleotides long. RefSeq lists it as uncharacterized. The transcript has 2 exons. NCBI's taxonomy places the organism in Eukaryota, Metazoa, Chordata, Mammalia, Rodentia, Cricetidae. The record is from RefSeq and is a predicted model, not a curated record.
UCUUCUCCCCUCCCAUUACUUGAAAGAACAAAGGGAAAGGAAAGCUACCAGGUCCCUCUGAGGUGCUCUGGGUCUUAGUGGACAGCAGGCUGGCCUUCCCCCACCAGGUAGGACCAGAGUCUCUCAGGGCAGCUCCCAUAUGUGUGGGGCUAGGGUUCCAACUGGGUCCUGAAUGGCAACAAAGCCAGUGUUGCUCAGAUGCCCAGGCCAUGAUGCUCUCCCUCCUGUCAUGUGCCAAGGGGUUGAGGGUAUUUCAGCUUGCAGGCCUAUAGAAGAGAGCACUCAGUCUUGGAGCAGGAGGCUGCUGGGAGGCUGGUGCCCAGCUCGCAGCAGGUCCACUCCCAAAGGCUUGAUGUGGCCUAGGACCCAGGGGUGUGUUGUUAUGAGGCGGUCGGGCUGCUCUCACAGUAUCCUCCCUGCCUUCCUUUAGUUAUAAGAACCAAUAGGCACACCUGGCUUUCUGGGCUUCCAGGGACUAGCAGAUGUUUUGUGUGCUUGAAGGCAUUGCUUAGCCUGAGACCCUGCUUGCAAGACAGGGCUCCACUGUCCCGGAAGACUGGUCCCAGCAUCCUUGGGUUCUACUCUAGCAAGGCUGACUGGGUCACUCCAGGAGAGCCAGGGCCCCACUGUCCCGGAAGACUGGUCCCAGCAUCCUUGGGUUCUACCCUAGCAAGGCUGACUGGGUCACUCCAGGAGAGCCAGGGCUCUCCGAGAAGCUGCCUGCUCCAUUCCCCAUUUGUUCUGCAAAACUGAAACCGGAUUUCCUGAAGAGGAGCCCCUGGUCACCCUACCCUUCUCUGUUACAUACUGCAGGUCAUCAGCUCAAACUGGCUCCAGCCUCAGCCUCGGACGCUGCCAAGACCAGCACGGUGCUCCCAGGCAGUGCUGCCAGGGUGCGGAUGCCUGCUGACCCCAAACCACCUCUGGGAGUAGCUCUGGAGAGUUCAUGGGCCAGGGCAGCCGCCAGAGACUCUGUCGCACCCUGGGUGAAAGAAACUUAUCCAUCAACUCAAGGCCACAGCCAUGGACUCUGGAAGCCUCUGCCCCUCCAUGGCCAGAAACUCCUACCACCUCCUUUGCAGUAUAAUCUCAGCCACAAUCAAGAGCUGGGGCCUGUCUUAGAAGCUACACAGGGCAGAGACUUGAAUAAAAGCAGCCAAGAUGCUGGGGCGAUGGGAGUGGUGAGCUUCCGGGAGGAGGCAUGGCUAGUUAUCUCACUUACACAGUCUGGCGACCCAAGCCUCUGAAUCCCAGUAAAGCCUGGGCCUGAGGUACUCCCACAACACCCACACUGCUAUCCUGUCCAGGAGGUGUGGGGCUGGGCCGUGCCUCCAGGACCUUCUUCCUGUAGGAAAUACAGAAGCAUUGAAGGGGCAUAGCAGCUGUUUGGACUUGCUGCUGGGGCCCUCACAGUUCCUGGAAGCUUGUUUUACUACACAGACACCUUGACAGGAGUGACAGCCGUGAGCCAGCCUCACAAACCUCAUCUGUCCCCAAGAGGGGCUGAGUUAAGAUGGGGCGAGCCUGUGACUAGACCCAGGCUGACCGAUGGCAUCUACACAGUGCGAUGGGAGGACUCAGAAGGUCCUCCCUUGGCUGACCCGCGAUACCCUUCUUUCUUCACGCCUAUACAUCAACUCUUCUUCUCCCUCUGUACCCAACAAGGUAACCAGAACGCCGCCACCAUCCUUACCGUCCAAUGACAGCCAGUCGUGCUGGGAGGAAGGGAGUGUGGGCAGAGCCCGAGCUUUGUACUCAAACACCACCGAGUUGGAGAUGAUCUGAUUGUUGAAGGCAACUUGUAGGGUCACAAGACCCGUGUCAUGGGCUGAAAGUCAGAAAGAGAGAGGUCAGGUUGAGCGCCCCUCCUCAUCAACCCUCUUUCAGUUAACAACCAAUUUCAGGGUUAAUAACCGGUUAUUAUGCCUGCCUAUCCCAUAAGGCCCAAGGUUGACAUUUGGGAAAACCCUUGGCUCCAGAUUCAGCCAGUGUCUGGCUAGGAUCCCCAGAGGAACUUCUGCUUGUCUGUUUGUUUGUUUUGCUUUGUUUUUGACACAAGUUCUCACUGUAUGGUCCUAGUUUGCCUGGAAUUAUGUAGAUCAUGCUGGUCUCAAAUUCCCAGAGACCUGCUUGCCUCAACCCCCGAGUCCCGGGAUUAAAGGUAUGUGCCACCACA